AUCUGGGCGCUGGCUGCCAUCCAGGAUCACAGCUCCUAACCUCGGGUUCAUUCCGUAACUGGGAAAACCUGCCUGUCCGGCUUUGAUGGCCUCGCUGGCUACACUGGCCCUGUAGAAGCCUGAACCUUCUCUCUUUUCUUCCAUUCCCUCCUUUUUCUCCUUGGCAGUUUAAAUCUUGGUUCAGAGUGUAUCUCACCCUUGGAAUGUUUCUCUCUUUGAUUCAGUAUCUCCAUGUAAAUCGACCGCUCCUUUACAAAGGAGGAAGAGAUAGCAGCUCCCAGGAGAUGAGGGUUAGGGAGCUCUGGGGACCGGGCUGAACUCCAGAGGUCAUGUGAGCACAGAGGUUAUUGUUCAGAAUAAUUCACAUUUUAGCCAAAUGGACUGGGACUCCAUGACACCCCCAAAAAAUUGAAGUUCAGGGUCAAAAGGAAUUCUCUUAUGUGAAACGAAUUCACUGAGCAGCUUAUAUCAGUUUACAUCUGCAGUUGAGGCA
Molecule: long non-coding RNA, 493 nt
Filed under: Homo sapiens (human)
Lineage: Eukaryota; Metazoa; Chordata; Mammalia; Primates; Hominidae
Description: HSALNT0273144
Source: RNAcentral